This 2015-nucleotide long non-coding RNA is filed under the name Coffea arabica (coffee). RNAcentral's name for it is "long non-coding RNA (CARA_LNC002714)". Lineage: Eukaryota; Viridiplantae; Streptophyta; Magnoliopsida; Gentianales; Rubiaceae. The record is from RNAcentral.
CGAUCAGAGGUCUGCGUCACUAAUUGCCGGCCAAAAUAGUUGAAUUAUAAGGAACAUACAAUCGAAAAGCCGCGAGGAAAUUUGAAGAGGGAAAAAGUACGCUAGACAAACUGGUGGUUUCUAUUAGAAAUUAUACACUGCUAGUCUACACAAGGUUUAUAUACAGGCAAAUCCAACGUAGUUUAUACGUGAUACAUAUGCUGCAGCAUCAUCCUUAAUUUUUUUUUUCCCCGUAGCUGUAGGGAAUGUAAUACGCCAUAAUCUAGUAGUAAAGACGCUAAAACAGGGGAUCCAAACCCAAAUCUCUCACUCAUCGUAGACCUCUAUACUAAAUGAGGAACGGGAGUUUGUCAAAGCCAACUCUGGAGCCGCUGCAUGUGGUCUCCAAGCUUAAUCAUAAUCACUGCCCAAAGAGUAGAAGAGUUAGUGAUGCCAUACCGGGAAAGGGCCACUCAGUAAAUCUACAAAUAAAUCUUUCACAGUUCUGCUACACCAGGCUGCAUUAGACCUCAGGUAGCUAUCCGUUUCCUUAACAGCAACUAUAAUGAAAGAACAAAUGCAGAGGCGAUUAACACACACUGGAUGCUUACCUCAGGGUAACAGUUUUGGUGCUCGAUUGUCUGAUUGUGGAUAUUUACAUUAACCUCACAUGACACUUUCCCCUGCAGAACACCAUAAGCAAGCACAUCAUAAAUCAGGGGCACAUAUCAUCUGGGGAAGCAUGAAAAGGCUAAUCAUGAAGUCCCAUUUGUUACGUCUUCCUUGGGUGUUAUGCUUCGGUAACAGAAGAAUAGGAGGACCAGCCAGAGCCAGCCCACCCCACGCAACUUAAAAUAGACGUGUUCUGUGAAGGCAUUAUUGGACAUAUACUUCUGUCAAAAUUGACAAGCAAUGUACAUUAAACAAAAGGAUUAAUCUUUAUAUACUGCCAAGUUUGGAUGCACGGCAAAAAAUCUAAAUUUGAACUUCAAAUCCAAAUUUUGCAUAUGUUUUAUGCAUCUAACCAUGAUAACAUAUACAACGUCAAUGUAUACAAGAUUUUCUCUAUACAAAUUGUGAACAAUACAAAAGAAGGCCCAAGGGAGCUUAACAGAUGAUGCUUUCUCAUUUUAGAUACGAUUCCCACAAGACACGAAUGAAGUUUCACCGAGCAUCAUAGAUUGCAUUUCAGAAUGUCUGGAUGCUGGCAUGGACGAAAGAGUCCAUAUGCUAGUACCUAACAAUACUCAAAAACCUGCUUCUGUUUAGUGCAUGCACGGAUGCUUACCAGCCAAAACUCAUUUCUGUUUAUAGGAACUUUAAAAACUUCUAACUACUACUUUACUUGUUCACAAUUUGCAGCAAGUUAUACCGGUUAUAUCAGUAAUUAGUGUUCUUGCUUAUACAUUAAUAGACUUACAAGAACCCAACGUCUGUUUGGCUGGUAACCAGAGCAUACUACGGGGGAAGUUGAUUCUCUUUGUUUCAAUUUUCACUGCAGAUACACUCAACCAUGUAAUUUCUCUCCACCUUCUAAUGCUACUACAUUCUGAAGCUUAACGAACGCCACCGAGAAAUUGUACUACAAGGCAAAUUGAGACUUCUUUUCACCUCUUCCAACCCGCCCAUGUUACGAUCAGAGGUCUGCGUCACUAAUUGCCGGCCAAAAUAGUUGAAUUAUAAGGAACAUACAAUCGAAAAGCCGCGAGGAAAUUUGAAGAGGGAAAAAGUACGCUAGACAAACUGGUGGUUUCUAUUAGAAAUUAUACACUGCUAGUCUACACAAGGUUUAUAUACAGGCAAAUCCAACGUAGUUUAUACGUGAUACAUAUGCUGCAGCAUCAUCCUUAAUUUUUUUUUUCCCCGUAGCUGUAGGGAAUGUAAUACGCCAUAAUCUAGUAGUAAAGACGCUAAAACAGGGGAUCCAAACCCAAAUCUCUCACUCAUCGUAGACCUCUAUACUAAAUGAGGAACGGGAGUUUGUCAAAGCCAACUCUGGAGCCGCUGCAUGUGGUCUCCAAGCUUAAUCAUAAUCA